Molecule: ribosomal RNA, 492 nt
Filed under: uncultured bacterium
Lineage: Bacteria
Description: partial 16S ribosomal RNA
Rfam family: Bacterial small subunit ribosomal RNA
Source: RNAcentral
AGUGAACGCUGGCGGUAGGCCUAACACAUGCAAGUCGAACGGCAGCACAGUAAGAGCUUGCUCUUACGGGUGGCGAGUGGCGGACGGGUGAGGAAUACAUCGGAAUCUACUUUUUCGUGGGGGAUAACGUAGGGAAACUUACGCUAAUACCGCAUACGACCUACGGGUGAAAGCAGAGGAUCUUCGGACCUUGCGCGACUGAAUGAGCCGAUGUCGGAUUAGCUAGUUGGCGGGGUAAAGGCCCACCAAGGCGACGAUCCGUAGCUGGUCUGAGAGGAUGAUCAGCCACACUGGAACUGAGACACGGUCCAGACUCCUACGGGAGGCAGCAGUGGGGAAUAUUGGACAAUGGGCGCAAGCCUGAUCCAGCCAUACCGCGUGGGUGAAGAAGGCCUUCGGGUUGUAAAGCCCUUUUGUUGGGAAAGAAAAGCAGCAGGUUAAUACCCCGCUGUUCUGACGGUACCCAAAGAAUAAGCACCGGCUAACUUCGUG